UUGCAGUUAAAAAGCUCGUAGUUGGAUUUCGGAACCGGCCGAUUGGUCCGUCCUCUGGAUCGUGUACUGAUCGGUCUGUUCUUCUUCGCGAAGACCGCGUGUGCUCUUAACUGAGUGGGCGUGGGAUUCGCGACGUUUACUUUGAAAAAAUUAGAGUGUUCAAAGCAGGCAGUCGCUUGAAUAUCUCAGCAUGGAAUAAUAGAAUAGGUCUUUGGUCUUAUUUUGUUGGUUUCCGAGACCGAAGUAAUGAUUAAUAGGGACAGUUGGGGGCAUUCGUAUUUCAUUGUCAGAGGUGAAAUUCUUGGAUUUAUGAAAGACGAACUUCUGCGAAAGCAUUUGCCAAGGAUGUUUUCAUUAAUCAAGAACGAUAGUUGGAGGCUCGAAGACGAUCAGAUACCGUCCUAGUUCCAACCAUAAACGAUGCCGUCUGCGGAUCGGAGGUCGCUCAUGUAAGGCUCCUUCGGCACGCUAUGAGAAAUCAAAGACUUCGGGUUCCGGGGGGAGUAUGUUCGCAAGAAUGAAACUUAAAGGAAUUGACGGAAGGGCACCACCAGGAGUGGAACCUGCGGUUUAAUUUGACUCAACACGGGGAAAACUCACCCA
This 603-nucleotide ribosomal RNA is filed under the name uncultured marine eukaryote. RNAcentral describes it as "SSU rRNA". It matches the Rfam family "Eukaryotic small subunit ribosomal RNA", at positions 613 to 1221 of the family's 1831-position model. The record is from RNAcentral.